UCAGGGUUUCAGCAGCAGAGCUGCACUCUGUGGAACUGCAUGGCUGUCAGACUGAACUUAUUUCACCAACUCCUCUGACAACUGCAAGGCGGAUGGGCUUCAGUUUGCCUGACAUAAGCCACCUAAGAUGGUAGAAAGUGAGAAAACUCGGCGUGUAAAGGUAUUCCUUUGUCUCUCCUGCUGCAUUGGACAUGGAGGAAAGACUGAUAAUGAGUGAACUAUCCAAAUGACACCGCCUCAAAUUCUCAAUAUUCUGUCAACAGAACAAUACAACACUAUCAGUCAUUCUCACUUGUGCAGAUCCGGCAGAGUAAAUUGAUCCAUUUUAAACAGUGAUACUGCCUUGAAGUUAGACUUGAUGGACCAAAGAGAAACAAAGAUAUCACGUGAGGCCUUUCCUACUGUUCGUAAGAACAUGCUAAGCUGAAGCAGCAGGUUGUUCAGGAUAAUGAUGGCACAAGCUGCAGUCUGCAACAAAAUGAGCACAAAGACUUUCACUUCACCUAAAGAGCCAGGUUGUUGCUGUGAGAUCAUCGACAUGCACUCUGUUAGUGAGGCUGUGCAGACCAGAAGAAAUCACUGAGAACAGAGAAUCCCUGAAGGCUAUCAUCUCAAGAAGCACAGGACUAGGGUUGCCAAC
This is a long non-coding RNA of Gallus gallus (chicken), 640 nucleotides long. The record is from Ensembl. NCBI's taxonomy places the organism in Eukaryota, Metazoa, Chordata, Aves, Galliformes, Phasianidae.